Molecule: small nucleolar RNA, 247 nt
Filed under: Amazona collaria (yellow-billed parrot)
Lineage: Eukaryota; Metazoa; Chordata; Aves; Psittaciformes; Psittacidae
Description: Small nucleolar RNA SNORD17 (ENSACOG00000017188.1)
Rfam family: Small nucleolar RNA SNORD17
About the family: The snoRNA HBI-43 belongs to the C/D family of snoRNAs, guiding 2'O-ribose methylation at position U3797 of the 28S rRNA. Pseudouridylation in position U3797 is predicted to be guided by the H/ACA snoRNA ACA48.
Source: Rfam by way of RNAcentral
GUGAGAUGAUGACAGAGUUUAUCCAUUCUCUGAGUGCAGUGGUGCUGCCCUCCUGCAGCAUUCUGACUCCUGUUCUAGGGUCCGGGUGCUGUGCAGCCUCCAGAGACCCUCUGGUCUGCCAGUGUCCUACUGGGGGCUGUUGUGGUGUGUGGCUGGCUGCCUGCAGGAGUGAAGUGGUGCUGGCAUGGCUGGAGCCCCUCUCUGGGGGGCUCUGUCCUCUCUGAGAUGAAGGGUGAUGUCUGAUCAC